Molecule: ribosomal RNA, 2148 nt
Filed under: human gut metagenome
Description: bacterial LSU rRNA
Rfam family: Bacterial large subunit ribosomal RNA
Source: RNAcentral
UGCCGCUUGCGAGGGCGUAUGGUGGAUGCCUUGGCAGACAGUACCGAUGAAGGACGUUUGAGGAUGCGAUAAUCCUAGGGGAGCCUCCAACAUGGCUUUGAUCCUAGGGUCUCCGAAUGGGGGAACCCGCCGGCCGUCAUGGGCCGGCACCGCACGUUGUUGCGGGGGGUACGCAGGGAAGUGAAACAUCUCAGUACCUGCAGGAAGGGAUACUCCGUGAGUAGUGGCGAGCGAAAGCGGAUCAGACCAAACCGGUUGCGCGUGAUACCCGUCGGGGGUUGCGUUGCCGGUGUCGUGGGAUCACGUGUCCCGGUUCCGACGGGCCGGGCGGGAGUCAUAAAACGGCUUGCCAGGGGAACAGGCUUGAAGGCCUGGCCGCAGAGGGUGCCAGCCCCGUACCUGGAAGCUUGCCGUCUUCCGAUCAUGUGUCCCAAGUAGCGCGGGCCUCGUGGAAUCCCGCGUGAAUCAGCCCAGACCGUUGGGUAAGUCUAAGCAUACCUGUCUGACCGAUAGCGUACCAGUACCGUGAGGGAAAGGUGAAAAGCACCCCGGGAGGGGAGUGAAAGAGUUCCUGAAACCGUGCGCCUACAAUCCGUCGGAGCCUCCUUGUGGGGUGACGGCGUGCCUAUCGAAAAAUGAGUCUGCGAGUCAGUGGUGCGUGGCGAGGCUAACCCGUGGUGGGGGAGCCGUAGCGAAGGCGAGUCUCAAAAGGCGUUUUGAGUCGCGCGCCCUGGACCCGAAGCGGGAUGAUCUAGCCCUGGGCAGGUUGAAGCGCGGGUAAGACCGCGUGGAGGACCGAACCCACCUGGGUUGAAAACCGGGGGGAUGACCUGGGGCUAGGGGUGAAAGGCCAAUCAAAUUCCGUGAUAGCUGGUUCUCUCCGAAAUGCAUUUAGGUGCAGCGUCGGUUGAUUGCAUCGCGGGGGUAGAGCUACUGGAUGCUUGCGGGCCCGUAUGGGGUACCAAUAGCAGCCAAACUCCGAAUACCGUGGAUGUGUAUUCCGGCAGUGAGUCGGCGGGGGAUAAGCUCCGUCGUCGAGAGGGAGACAGCCCAGAUCGUCGUCUAAGGUCCCGAAGCGUGUGCUAAGUGGGAAAGGAUGUGGAGUCGCAUAGACAGCCAGGAGGUUGGCUCAGAAGCAGCCAUCCUUGAAAGAGUGCGUAACAGCUCACUGGUCUAGUGGUUCCGCGCCGACAAUGUAGCGGGGCUCAAGCACACCACCGAAGACGCGGCAGCGCAUUUGAUGCGCUGGGUAGGAGAGCGUCCUGCGAGGGGCGAAGCGGCGGUGGAAACCGGCCGUGGACUUCGUGGGAGUGAGAAUGCAGACAUGAGUAGCGAGAGACGGGUGAGGAUCCCGUCCGCUGGAUGACCAAGGGUUCCGGGGCCACGUUCGUCGUCCCCGGGUGAGUCGGGUCCUAAGGCGAGGCCGACAGGCGUAGUCGAAUGGAUGAACGGGUGGAUAUUCCCGUACCGACCAUGGACCGGCAAAACCGAGACGGUGAGUACUAACCUCCGCCUCGUGGUGGUUCCUUCCUUCGGGUUGGUAUCGCCGCGUGGUGUUGGGACCGUAGCCGCAGUAGGUCAGCGCAGGGGUGACACGGAAUGGGAGCCGGCCGCGGAGGUGGUUUUCCGUGGUCAAGCACGCAGCCAGUCAUGUAGGCAAAUCCGCAUGGCGCGCAUGGCGAGGUGUGAUGAUGGGAGCCGUUAUGGCUCGAUAUCCGGUUGUCCAGGCCGUCGAGAAAAGCCUCGGCGUGAGGGCCAUGGCCGCCCGUACCCCAAACCGACACUGGUGGUCAGGUAGAGAAUACCAAGGCGAUCGAGCGAAUCCUGGUCAAGGAACUCGGCAAAUCACUCCCGUGCCUUCGGUAUAAGGGAGACCCACUGGGGUGAAGGACCUUGCGUCCGGAGCUUUGGUGGGUGGCACAGACCAGGGGGUAGCGACUGUUUACCAAAAACACAGGUGCAUGCGAAGGCGCAAGCCGCUGUAUAUGCACUGACGCCUGCCCGGUGCCGGAAGGUUAAGAGGAUCCGUCAGCCCCUUUUGGGGUGAAGCGGUGAAUUCAAGCCCCGGUAAACGGCGGUGGUAACUAUAACCAUCCUAAGGUAGCGAAAUUCCUUGUCGGGUAAGUUCCGACCUGCACGAAUGGCGUA